CUUACUAUGGCGAGGGGGGGGAGGUAAAGAAUGAGAGUGAGCCUGCCUGAGGGAGAAAAGACCUACGGGGAACGGUACCUAAUAAUAUCUGAGGAGGAGAACGGAGGAGAUGUACGCUUCUUGCGCUUGCAGAUGAAUAUGGGCCAAUGGGACUAUGGGGGGGGAGAAGGUUACGCUCACGAGGAGAUGGAGCUCUGGUGGGAGUGAGAGGAUCCACACUGUCACUGAGACACAGACCCGAUACCCACUCCUGGGGGAGGUGGGGAAGUGUGUAAUUUGUGCGAAAGCCUGAUCCUGAAGUGCCGCUUGCACGAGGAUGGCCUACGGGUUGUAAACUGCUUUUUUUUUCAACGAAGAGGAAUCUCCUAAUGUUAAAAGCCCUUGACUUUUUUUUUACACUCAGCAGAGGCUAACUCGGACUCCGUGGCCGCGCCACACUUAUGCUGAGAGCGUUAAUCGGAAUUUCAGGGCUCGGGGGUGCGCGUCGGGGUGUGUUACAAAUUAUGAAUUCAAAUCCUCCUCCUCGGAACUGCAUUUGUGUAUGCAUGUGUCUGUACGAUUGUAUGUGGAUGGAGGUACACCCUGUGGAGUGGCGUGCUAAUAAUACAGAGCAGGACCAAUAGCGAAGGCGAUCACCUGCCCCUGUACUAACACUCAUGCUCUGGAGCGCGGGGGGGAGAAAACAAUCAUAAAAUCCUAUGCUCGUCGCCCCCGCAGAUGACGACUGCUACUUGGUGGUUACCUUUUUAUUUUACGACGUCAGCACAUGAAGUAGAUCGACCGGCCGCGUGCGGACGGCAGGCUUGAAGUUAAAACAAUUAAUUGGUUACCGGCCCCCCCCGUGGUGGAGCGGGUUGUUUCUUUGUACCCACCACACCAACCCCACCUGUGCUUCGCUGAAAUUACAUUAUAUAGAAGAUUGGUUGCAUAGACACUGACUACAAGAGCGCGCUGCGGUGGUCUCAUCUCGUCUGGUAGAGUUAGGUUAAGUUCACCCACCAGGACCAACCCCAUUCCUUAUUUUUUUUUACUUUCCAGUUGUAUCGGCUCGCGAAAGCCUUCUGGGGAAAAGUUGCGGAGACCUGAA
Molecule: ribosomal RNA, 1087 nt
Filed under: Thermofilum sp. SS63
Lineage: Archaea; Thermoproteati; Thermoproteota; Thermoprotei; Thermofilales; Thermofilaceae
Description: partial 16S ribosomal RNA
Rfam family: Bacterial small subunit ribosomal RNA
Source: RNAcentral